This 1038-nucleotide unclassified non-coding RNA is filed under the name Limnonectes bannaensis (large-headed frog). Its description in RNAcentral is "partial contains 12S ribosomal RNA, tRNA-Val, and 16S ribosomal RNA; may also contain tRNA-Phe". The stretch from base 1 to 472 matches the Rfam family "Bacterial small subunit ribosomal RNA", at positions 861 to 1533 of the family's 1533-position model. Lineage: Eukaryota; Metazoa; Chordata; Amphibia; Anura; Dicroglossidae. The record is from RNAcentral.
UAACAAACGCCCGGGUAUUACGAGCCUCAGCUUAAAACCCAAAGGACUUGACGGUGUCCCAUCCAACUAGAGGAGCCUGUUCUAUAAUCGAUAACCCCCGAUACACCUAACCCCUCCUUGCCAAUCAGCCUGUAUACCUCCGUCGCAAACUUACCAUAUGAAUGCCAAUAGUAGGUUAAAUGGUUAUAUCACCAACACGUCAGGUCAAGGUGCAGCUCAUGAUAGGGAAAGCAAUGGGCUACAAUUUCUAAAAUAGAACACACGGAAUGCUGCAUGAAACACAGCCGCGAAGGCGGAUUUAGUAGUAAAAAGAAAAUAAAGUGUCCUUUUUAAUAAGGCCCUGGGACGUGUACACACCGCCCGUCACCCUCUUCAACAGCACACAAUAUGUUCCUAACAACUCUUGCACCUUAGAAGAGGCAAGUCGUAACAUGGUAAGUGUACCGGAAGGUGCACUUGGAUUUACAAAGUAUAGUUUAACAAAACCUCCCGCUUACACCGAGAAUAUAUCUGUGAGAAUCAGAUUACUUUGAGCCUAAAAUUAAGCCUAACCCACCCCCAUGAAAACCACUUCCAACUAAACAACAAUAAAACAUUUUAUCAGUUUAGUAAAGGCGAUUAAAAAACUUCCUAGCGCUUUACUUCUAGUACCGCAAGGGAAAAAUGAAAUAGUUUUGAAACAGCCAUUAAGCAACCUAUAGCAGAGACUACCCCUCGUACCUUUUGCAUCAUGGUUUAGCCAGUCUUUUUCAAGCAAAGCGAAACAUCAGUUUGACCCCCCGAAACUAAGCGAGCUACUUCAAAACAGCUCAAUGGAGCCAACCCGUCUCUGUCGCAAAAGAGUGGGACGAUUUUUAAGUAGAGGUGAAAAGCCUACCGAGCUUAGAGAUAGCUGGUUAUUCAAGAAAAGAAUUUUAGUUCUACCUUAAGUUUCUGUAUUAACCCUAUAAACCACUCAAACUUAAGAGCUAUUCAAAUGAGGCACAGCUUAUUUGAAAAAGGAUACAACCUAUAAAAAAGGGUAAAACCCCCCCCCCC